GACCUCAGAUCAGGCAAGGCUACCCGCUGAAUUUAAGCAUAUUAAUAAGCGGAGGAAAAGAAACUAACAAGGAUUCCCUCAGUAACGGCGAGUGAAGCGGGAAGAGCUCAAAUUUGAAAUCUCCUCUGCUUGCAUCGGAGAGUUGUAGUUGCGAGAAGCACUUUCUAGGUGGAUCGCUGGUGCCUAAGUUGCUUGGAACAGCACGUCGCAGAGGGUGACAACCCCGUCUGUGGCGCCAGCGGCCGCUGACGAUGUGC
RNAcentral lists this ribosomal RNA (257 nucleotides) under Merulina sp. TS-2013. RNAcentral's name for it is "partial 28S ribosomal RNA". It matches the Rfam family "Eukaryotic large subunit ribosomal RNA", at positions 1 to 254 of the family's 3401-position model. Lineage: Eukaryota; Metazoa; Cnidaria; Anthozoa; Scleractinia; Merulinidae. The record is from RNAcentral.